GACGAACGCUGGCGGCGUGCUUAACACAUGCAAGUCGAACGAAGAGCGAUGGAAGCUUGCUUCUAUCAAUCUUAGUGGCGAACGGGUGAGUAACGCGUAAUCAACCUGCCCUUCAGAGGGGGACAACAGUUGGAAACGACUGCUAAUACCGCAUACGAUCUAACCUCGGCAUCGAGGAUAGAUGAAAGGUGGCCUCUACAUGUAAGCUAUCACUGAAGGAGGGGAUUGCGUCUGAUUAGCUAGUUGGAGGGGUAACGGCCCACCAAGGCGAUGAUCAGUAGCCGGUCUGAGAGGAUGAACGGCCACAUUGGGACUGAGACACGGCCCAGACUCCUACGGGAGGCAGCAGUGGGGAAUCUUCAGCAAUGGACGAAAGUCUGACGGAGCAACGCCGCGUGAGUGAUGACGGCCUUCGGGUUGUAAAGCUCUGUUAAUCGGGACGAAAGGCCUUCUUGCGAAUAGUUAGAAGGAUUGACGGUACCGGAAUAGAAAGCCACGGCUAACUACGUG
This 510-nucleotide ribosomal RNA is filed under the name uncultured bacterium. RNAcentral describes it as "partial 16S ribosomal RNA". It matches the Rfam family "Bacterial small subunit ribosomal RNA", at positions 28 to 507 of the family's 1533-position model. The record is from RNAcentral.